Molecule: ribosomal RNA, 291 nt
Filed under: uncultured bacterium
Lineage: Bacteria
Description: partial 16S ribosomal RNA
Rfam family: Bacterial small subunit ribosomal RNA
Source: RNAcentral
GACGAACGCUGGCGGCGUGCUUAACACAUGCAAGUCGAGCGGUAAGGCCCUUUCGGGGUACGACGAGCGGCGAACGGGUAGGAGUAACAACGUGGGUGGACCUCGCCCUCCAGCUCUGGGAGUAAAGCCUGGGAAACGUAGGGUCGUAAUAACUGGAUAUGACUCCACGGUGCAUGUCGUGGGGUGGAAAGACCUUGUGCGGCUGAGGAGUGGGCCCGGCCGGCCUAUCAGCUUGUUGGUGGGGUGAUGGCCUACCAAGGCGACGACGGGUAGCCGGCCUGAGAGGGCGGU